UACACACCAAGCAGCAGAGAAUCUAAAAAAUAUAAAAGCUAAAAGCCAAAACAUCACAGCAUGCAGAGGAUAUUCCUGUCCCUCCUUAUCUCUUCUUGGCUCUGUGGGGCCAGGAUCUGCUCAUUCUCAUCCUGCUGUCUGCAGCCACAGAGUGCCUUCACUUAGGUGCCUUUUGUUACCUCUGUGUGGAUGAGGAAGAAAUGUUUCUUGGGCUUUCAGCUUUCUCCUGAUACAGUAGCUAAAAUUUGAAGUGCUUGUCUCUGUUAUCUCUUCUUCCAGUGUUCUCUGCUUUUAGGAGUU
Sturnus vulgaris (Common starling) is the source of this 300-nucleotide non-coding RNA. NCBI's taxonomy places the organism in Eukaryota, Metazoa, Chordata, Aves, Passeriformes, Sturnidae. The record is from RefSeq and is a predicted model, not a curated record.